This 77-nucleotide transfer RNA is filed under the name Thermosediminibacter oceani DSM 16646. RNAcentral describes it as "tRNA-Ile (GAT) (tRNA-Ile-GAT-1-1)". It matches the Rfam family "tRNA". Rfam says of the family: Transfer RNA (tRNA) molecules are approximately 80 nucleotides in length. Lineage: Bacteria; Bacillati; Bacillota; Clostridia; Thermosediminibacterales; Thermosediminibacteraceae. The record is from RNAcentral.
GGGCUUAUAGCUCAGUUGGUGAGAGCGCACGCCUGAUAAGCGUGAGGUCGGUGGUUCGAGUCCACCUAAGCCCACCA